Molecule: long non-coding RNA, 3033 nt
Organism: Oryctolagus cuniculus (rabbit)
Lineage: Eukaryota; Metazoa; Chordata; Mammalia; Lagomorpha; Leporidae
Source: Ensembl
GCUUUUAUUUAAGUAAUUCAAUGUAUGUGGAAUCUUAUAUCAUAUUUUGUCUUGUUUUUAUGUGAAUGUGUUUUUAAUUUAUCUAAGUUAUAUUGUGCUGAGAAUUGAGGCCAUCCAGUGGGGCUGGCGGUUCUGUAAGCCCUAAGGUGUAGGUGGAAUGUCCUUCACAAGCAGGCUGUCAGCUGUGGCGGGAAAGCCUGUCUCCAGACCGACCAGCAUCUCCCCCACUCAUAGCUUCUUGAGCUGCAUGUGUGUCCUUGUGGUUUUAAAUCACAGCUUCAGGGUGAUUGCAAUCUUUCACCCAGAGCUGGCAGAGAAGGGGGCUGAGCCCCUGGGGAGAGUCGGGCUCUCUCCCGGAGACCCCUGAUAUCUCCAAGAGUCCCAAGCCAAUCAACAAAUGUCUGUGAAACCCCUGACCAUUGAGGGGGACCCCCAAUAGAAUGACCCAAUGAACGCAUAGUAAUGCCUUAAAAACCCUGGACACUUCUUCAAAGCCAGUGUCCCUUUCGGGCACUCUGCCUGGUCUAUUUCCAUCAAAUAAAAGUUUCCCAGUUUUUUAUUUCUAUACUGAGUUGAAGAAAAGAACCCACAAACUUGCUCUGGGACUGGUAGCAAGAAUCUCAUUCCAGUUUUUCCCUCUACCGUGUUUUAUAAAUUCAUGCUCUAUGUAACCUAAACUAUUUUUACAUGGGUCAAAUCAAAAUUUCCAGCAUUUAUAAAAGAGAAGAAUUUAUGUAAAUAUCCAGAUGGUUUCUUUCUCUGUCAGUCUGCAUUCCUGCAUGGCAAACAAUCACUGGAGCUGUAUUGACUGCUGCCUUCAGAAUGGUCAUAGAUUUUCUACUUUACCUCUAGGCUCAGUCACAUUACCUGUCUGUGUAAGCAUUUCAAUUCGCAGCACCUAGAAGCGAUGAAACAUGAACAUGGCUCAUGGAACAUUGUGGCCUACUCAACUCUCAAGCUUUCCUUCUCUUCUUCCAUGCUUAUCCCCAUCAGUCCUCCAUUCAUUCCUCAGAGACAACUGCCAAAAAUCGUUGUUGGAAUCCAUUGUUUGCUCUUACAAAAGAAAACAGACAAAUAUCAGUAGCUGUCAGAAUGUAAGGAAGAGAAUGUGCUGUCGCAGCUUGGGGUGAAGCUGAAGCCAUGGCCAAAGGUGAGCAAAACCACACAUUAAGAGAGCAGUUAAUAUCCUAGGGUCUCUGAAGGGAAAAAACAGAUGACAAAGGUGGGUGGCAUUCCGGUCAGAAGAUGCUAGCCUCACCAUCAGUUAAGAGAUAGGCUGUUCCUUUAUAGGAAAGGGGAGAAAUGGAACAACACAUCUGAUGUAUGUUCCAUGUCUCUGAUUUUGUCCCCCCGUGUCAUGUUAGUGCUCAGAAGCCUCUGCAGGAGAGGUCCUCCCUGGAGGAAAAAGCCUACAGCUGGCUCGUUUGCAGAACUUUUGUUUGUUGGUAAGAACUCCAAAGCCUCAGGUGGGUCAGAGCAGAUAUUUUUUUCUUCCCCCCUCUAGGGCUGGUGUGGUAACCAGCAUCAUAGAUAAUGCCAGGAAGAGAAAAUUGGGUUUGGAAAAGCAUUCUAAUCAGUUCAAACUGAGCCUCUCUGAUUACUAGAAUUCCAGGGUAUCAAGCGUGAUCCUAAAACAGAUCAUCUGUUUGACAGGCACUUCAAGUUUUACAUUAUUGCAAAAUUGCAUUAUUGCACUCAGGCUUUUGAUGUAUGGAUUUAUCUAAGCCCCUUAAGCAUAAUUUGGAAAAUGAGUUGAGGCAGAAGCAGAGGCAAUAUUUCUUGCUCUUUUAUUUGACCCAGAAAGAAACACAAUUUCAAGUGAUUUGGUUAUCUAAGAGAGCUUCUCCUUGCUCUGUCACCUAGCUUUGUGACCUCAAUCCCACUUAUUAAGUGCAGCUCAGGCAGCCUGUCUGAAGGCUGUCAGCUUAGACUUUAUCCCAGGAGAUUCAUUACAAAGGACCAAGGAUCGUGCACAACUGGCUAAGAUGAAACUCCAGGCGAACCAUAAUUACAGAGCUGGGGUCACGAGAGAAUUAAGGGUGCAGACCCAUUGCCCCAGGUCUCCAAGUUUCCCAAGUCAUUGAUAGAGAGGACUCAAGUGGUUCAGUGACUCUUGGCAUGACCUUUAAUUGGUUUGUUUCUGUGAGUGAUUGUUUCCCUAAUCCAGUGUGUCCUGUAUAUUGUUGUUUGAGUAAUUUUCCUGAAGGAUUAUUCUAAUUAGUGUCCCCCUCCUUUUUUUUUUUUGCCUAGAUAUUGAACUCCUUCCAGGCAUACCAGGUUCUUAAAAAGGUGCUUCGAACACCAGCAGGAUCAGCAACACUUGGGACUUUGUUGGAAAUGCACAUCUUAUAUCUCAAUUCAGAACUACCAAAACAAAACAAAACAAAAUUCUGGGGCAGGGCCCAUCAAUCUGUGCUAACAGACUCAAGGGUGCUUCUUAUGUGAUUGUCGUUCUCAUGUGAUUAUCAUUCUCUGUGAUUCUCAUGUGCUAACAUCUCAGAGCUCUACUGUAUCCGGAACAAUGAACCAUUAUGAAUUUACCAUAUUCUGCUUCCUCUGACAGAAAUUUGACCAUACAUCUUUAAUUUAACUCCAUAUUUUUUGUCCUUUUUUUGUUGUUGUUUACUGCAUUUCCUUUAACUAGAAUUAACUUUUUCCAUGUAUGCAUUUUGAGCCUGGGCUCAACUGCGACCAUAUUUCCCCCAGGUUCUUUCAACCUCUAUACCAUUGACAUUUGGGCCCAGAGGUAUUUUGUUGUUCUGGGGGCCUAGCCUGUCAUUCUCAAGUAGUAACCCCAUUGUGAAACCAAAAAUGUAACCAGACUUUGCCAAAUGUCAGGUAGGGGAAAAAUCUCUAUUGGUUACUUCAUGUCCCAAAACCACACUUAAUUUCUCCAGUCUCUGUGCUUCUGGAUAAAUUGGACCUUGAUUAUUUACUAAAUCAGGUUCAGAUAGUUGUAAUUUUUUAAGAAUACAAAAGAACACAUACACACAUAUCUUCAAUAAAUGUAAGAUGCUAUUAAAAUAUAAGACA